This 874-nucleotide long non-coding RNA is filed under the name Salvia miltiorrhiza (redroot sage). Its description in RNAcentral is "long non-coding RNA (SMIL_LNC010352)". Lineage: Eukaryota; Viridiplantae; Streptophyta; Magnoliopsida; Lamiales; Lamiaceae. The record is from RNAcentral.
UUAAAUCAAAUAAAAAUAAGCACAUAUUUCUAAACAUAAAAGAAAAAACAAAUACAAUAAAAAAGAAGAAGAAAAAAAGUAGCAGAAUGAACAGUGCCCGCUACAUGAAGCACGAGUGUUCAGUCCCUUUAUAUUUUACAGUAGCGUGAAGUGCGCUGCUGGAGAUGAUUCCACUGCUCAAAUAGCGGCAGCUGCUAUUCUACCGCUGCCUUUGGAGGUGCUUUUAACCUUAUAUUUCUAGGCUAAUCAAUCCUCAAAAGUAUAUACUCCAAAGAUAUGGUUUUCAAUCCAAUCCUUACAUAAUUAAGAAGAGGAAUUUCUUAAACAUAUAUUCAAGUCUAGUAGAAUAUAUAGGAAUUGGAAAUCAACAAUUGUAGUGCAACGUCACUUAAUUCAGUUCAAGAACAUGUAUUAGCUAGAGUUUAGAGUUGGGUAAAGAUGAGGCCCAACCAUUGCAUUGCUGUUGGAUUAGUUUAGAGUUUAGAGAUAAAAUAAUGCAUUGUAUCACUAGCUAGCCUCAGUAGUAAUUAAGACGCAUCAUGAGGAAAUGGAAAAUCAUUAUCAAUUCUCUUUAAUUCAACUUCACACAUACUAUAUUAUAUGAAAGUAUGGAGCAGUUAUUUACCUAAGUUUGAGAUUGGACAUAUAAGCAGCAGCAGAAGAAACUUAGCCAGGACUGGAUAUGGAGUGUAGCCAUGGCAAUGCAGCUACAAAUAACUAAAGUUAUACUCCAUACCCAUGCCUGGAUAAGUUUUUCCGCCGGUUAUCCGACGUCGUUGUGUCGAAUGCAAGAGCUUAUUUAGAGCUCAAAUAUUCCAAAAUACUAAUUGAAGAACAUUGUGAAAUGGUGUAGAGGCAAGUAACAAGAGAUCCU